CGGGUUUCCCCUCACUGCUUUGAUCUUGUUGUUCUGUUUUCUUGUGUUAUUAAAUCUGGGUUUUCAUUAAAGUGAAGUUAGAUGGAAGAAGAUCAUCUAUUGACAUACAAGGAUUAGCAUCAGCAUUACGAAGAGUUCGUUUUGGGUUUAUAUUGGCAACUUAAGGUACAGAUACUCGAUUUGGUGAUUCUCCAGCUUAGGAUUUCCACUCAGCUGUCUUGGAGAGAUCCAUUGUUCCGGAGCCUAGACUUUUGGUACAGAUCUUUUGAUGUAUAUAUAUGUUUAUCCAGGGGUACGGCGGGGCCCUGUCCCGUCAUAUUUCACUAUCGAUACUCUUAGAGGUCUGUAGACAUAUGUGUGGGUUGUGUAUACGUUUUGUUUAGCGUGUCUAUAUGAUGUGCUAUGGAUAUGUUCGUCUGUAGUGGCAGCCUUGUCGGCUUGCGUAUCAUAUUAUGUUUUGAUCAGUUGUGACUCCUCAGGAGACA
Molecule: long non-coding RNA, 485 nt
Organism: Lycium barbarum (goji berry)
Lineage: Eukaryota; Viridiplantae; Streptophyta; Magnoliopsida; Solanales; Solanaceae
Exons: 3
Source: RefSeq, a predicted model, not a curated record